GGGGAAUCUUGCGCAAUGGACGAAAGUCUGACGCAGCAACGCCGCGUGAGUGAAGAAGGCCUUCGGGUUGUAAAGCUCUGUCGUGAGGGACGAAAAUGUUUGGGGCUCAUACCUCCAAGCACUGACGGUACCUUGAAAGGAAGCACCGGCUAACUCCGUGCCAGCAGCCGCGGUAAUACGGAGGGUGCAAGCGUUGCUCGGAAUUAUUGGGCGUAAAGGGUAGGUAGGUGGUCUGAUUUGUCAGGGGUGAAAACCUUGGGCUUAACCCAAGAAGGGCCUCUGAAACGGUCGGACUAGAGUCUCGGAGAGGGUCGUAGAAUUCCCGGUGUAGCGGUGAAAUGCGUAGAGAUCGGGAGGAAUACCAGAGGCGAAGGCGGCGGCCUGGACGAGUACUGACACUAAACUACGAAAGCGUGGGGAGCAAAC
Molecule: ribosomal RNA, 426 nt
Filed under: uncultured bacterium
Lineage: Bacteria
Description: bacterial SSU rRNA
Rfam family: Bacterial small subunit ribosomal RNA
Source: RNAcentral